RNAcentral lists this ribosomal RNA (497 nucleotides) under uncultured bacterium. Its description in RNAcentral is "partial 16S ribosomal RNA". It matches the Rfam family "Bacterial small subunit ribosomal RNA", at positions 28 to 507 of the family's 1533-position model. The record is from RNAcentral.
GAUGAACGCUGGCGGCGUGCCUAAUACAUGCAAGUCGAGCGAACAGACGAGGAGCUUGCUCCUCUGACGUUAGCGGCGGACGGGUGAGUAACACGUGGAUAACCUACCUAUAAGACUGGGAUAACUUCGGGAAACCGGAGCUAAUACCGGAUAAUAUUUUGAACCGCAUGGUUCAAUAGUGAAAGACGGUUUUGCUGUCACUUAUAGAUGGAUCCGCGCCGCAUUAGCUAGUUGGUAAGGUAACGGCUUACCAAGGCAACGAUGCGUAGCCGACCUGAGAGGGUGAUCGGCCACACUGGAACUGAGACACGGUACAGACUCCUACGGGAGGCAGCAGUAGGGAAUCUUCCGCAAUGGGCGAAAGCCUGACGGAGCAACGCCGCGUGAGUGAUGAAGGUCUUCGGAUCGUAAAACUCUGUUAUUAGGGAAGAACAAAUGUGUAAGUAACUAUGCACGUCUUGACGGUACCUAAUCAGAAAGCCACGGCUAACUACGUG